ACUCGGGGAGGUAGUGACAAUAAAUACUGAUACAGGGCUCUUUUGGGUCUUGUAAUUGGAAUGAGUACAAUUUAAAUCCCUUAACGAGGAACAAUUGGAGGGCAAGUCUGGUGCCAGCAGCCGCGGUAAUUCCAGCUCCAAUAGCGUAUAUUAAAGUUGUUGCAGUUAAAAAGCUCGUAGUUGAACCUUGGGCCUGGCUGGCCGGUCCGCCUCACCGCGUGCACUGGUUCGGCCGGGCCUUUCCCUCUGGGGAACCGCAUGCCCUUCACUGGGUGUGUCGGGGAACCAGGACUUUUACUGUGAAAAAAUUAGAGUGUUCAAAGCAGGCCUAUGCUCGAAUACAUUAGCAUGGAAUAAUAGAAUAGGACGUGUGGUUCUAUUUUGUUGGUUUCUAGGACCGCCGUAAUGAUUAAUAGGGACAGUCGGGGGCAUCAGUAUUCAAUUGUCAGAGGUGAAAUUCUUGGAUUUAUUGAAGACUAACUACUGCGAAAGCAUUUGCCAAGGAUGUUUUCAUUAAUCAGGAACGAAAGUUAGGGGAUCGAAGACGAUCAGAUACCGUCGUAGUCUUAACCAUAAACUAUGCCGACUAGGGAUCGGGCGAUGUUAUUAUUUGACUCGCUCGGCACCUUACGA
RNAcentral lists this ribosomal RNA (633 nucleotides) under Arthrinium phaeospermum. RNAcentral's name for it is "SSU rRNA". It matches the Rfam family "Eukaryotic small subunit ribosomal RNA", at positions 454 to 1093 of the family's 1831-position model. The record is from RNAcentral. Lineage: Eukaryota; Fungi; Ascomycota; Sordariomycetes; Amphisphaeriales; Apiosporaceae.